Oxyura jamaicensis (ruddy duck) is the source of this 3021-nucleotide long non-coding RNA. RefSeq lists it as uncharacterized. The record is from RefSeq and is a predicted model, not a curated record. The transcript is spliced from 7 exons. NCBI's taxonomy places the organism in Eukaryota, Metazoa, Chordata, Aves, Anseriformes, Anatidae.
CUUCAUGUGGUCCUCUCUGGUGAAUGAAGAAUUUUGGAAAUAUGGUCUUGCUACUGACCUGGCCACUUUUAAACGUGCAUCCUGUUUAUGGGUGCUGUAUCUCUGAACUUUUGCUCUGGCCUUUGUUCAGCUCAUGCUCCAGGGGACAGUGGCAGGGUAAGAUGUGAUCGGAGUGCACCUGUGGCUGUCCAAACAAUGUGAAGGGAAGCUGAAGUGUUUCCCUCUCCCUGCCUCCCAUCUGUAUUCUGGACCAAAUGAUGCAGCAUCAUUCUAGAAACUGCCAGCAAUCCGCCCCUGCCUUUCUUUGCUCGGAGACCCACGCAGCCCGCAGCCGUACGUGAUGCAGAGAGCAGUCCUUCGUGGUGCUUACCCAGGAUGGUGUCACAGAAAUGCGUCUGAGUAAUGCAGAUGGGCUGCUGAACGGAUUGAACUGUAGCCCCCGAAGUGAUGCUUGGAGGUCCCUUGGGUCUGCAAGCCCUCAUACACCUGGCAGGUCAGCAGCCCCAUCCAACAGACCCUCCUCUGUACACAAGAAAUGUGUACAUGGUCAUGGAGAAUGUAAUCUCCUGCUGCAGGCCCAGAGCAUGACCUGGUACAUAAGGUGUGUGGUAGCUACAGUGCUCCUCUGAGUGCCACCAUUUCUAGAAGCAGGUGGGAGUAACCUUGUAAAUGAUUCUGAUUAACACAGAUGGCUGUCUCUCUACUACUCCAGCCCUCUCAGCAGAUGGAGUGGGCUUGGCGCUGCAGUGUUAGGAGCUGCAGACAACGUGUAUGCUUGGUUGAAGCACAGACUGAGUCACUCGCAUUUAUGGUGUUCUUCCUGUUGAAAAGAUUAAUGUGGAGAUGAAAAAUAAAGUGAAAAAAAAAUUGCUUUGCUGCAGAAGUAACUAUGUCUCCUAGUAAGGAGCUAUAAAAAGCAAUACCGUAGAGAUUGAUUUAUGAAGAACAAAAACAGAAGGGAUUCUGCAGAACACAGUUAAAUGAUUACAACUGCUAGGCCAUGAGGAAGGCCAGGUGCUGUUUACAGUGGGACACAGGGCAUAGCUGAAUUCAGGGGAAUGAAAAUGAGUGUGCAGGAUGCUGGCUGAACAUCCCAGAAAUGUUCUGGGUAGUGUGAGCUUUCUUCUGCUUCCCAAAGGGAGUGGAAGACAGCCCCAGCACUCUGGAUAAAUUGGUUCUGUAUUGAACAAAACAGGGCUAAAGUUUGUCUUAGAACUUCAUGGCUGCACGGGGUUGUAGGAAGGGGCUCAAUACAAGCUAUUCUGACCUCACAUCUGGCUGUGCGAAGACAAGUACUUGCUUCUCUGCCUCAGAGAAGGUGUGUGAAGAGCAGCAGGUUCUGAAGAGCUACAAUUCCUUGUCCUAAAGCAUCUGUCUGUGUUUCUGCUUCAGAUGAAAUCGGAGAAUUGCAUGAACCCUUCCAGCUCUUUAGUGAAUCUUAUUUUUCUUUCCUUAUAGACUGAGCCAGUACAGGCUUGUAUAAAUUGAAGUCUUUCUCAAUUCCUGGAAACUUCUGAGAGGAAACUUCUGGGAUCAGAUGAUCAGGCUUUUUUUCUGGUGACAGGUUAGUUCAGGGAAUUGGAAGGGAAAGCAUGUGACACAUUUUGGGAAUAAAUUCUUGGCAUCUAGAGUAUGUGCAUACUCCUGUCUCUGAGAUGGCAAGGACUGUAUUCAGUUAGUUCAACCACUGUGUAGGAAAUCCCUCAGUCCUUAAUUUCCUUGGAAGGACUUCAGCUCUGUUCCUUCCUCAACAUAAUCAGUGCAGUCAUAUUGAUUCACUGAAUAAAAUAGGCCUUGAAUAUCAGAUAAUUUACCACCCAGAUAGAAAUCAGCUGCAGUGCCAAUUAAGUCAAAGUCAGUCUGAAAGCUGUAGUAAAGGAGAACGAGACCCAACCACUUAACAGUGAAGCAUUUUUGACUUUUGAAGUAUUUUUUUCUUCCUGGGAACCAUCAUGGAGCAUUACUUGAUAGGUCAAAAAACAGCAACAAAAUGCUGAAAAGUACAAUGAUAAAAACUUCAGAAAGGGAUGUACAACCCCACUGAACAGAGGGCAAUCUUAGUCUAAUUCAAGCACCUCUUCCAAGUUUUUUCCCCUCACCACCCACCCUUCCACUGUAUCUUGUAUCCCAGUUCGUGUAACGCUGCCUUGACAGUUUGACUUCUGAGAGUUGACUUAAAUUAAUGGUCUAGGUGAACAACCCAGACACAUUUCCAGGUAUCUUUGAGUUCCUAAUUGUUUCCUGCACACCAUUCGCAUUCAGCGUCCUUGCAGAGAUCCACAGCUAGGUAAUGCAUUUUCUGAUCUCUUACUGUUUUAGAACAUGUUGAUUUGGGGGGAGCGGCAAAGCCCAUGAGAAUUACUGAAUUCUGCUUGUGUGGGCACAAAAGUGAACCACAUGUUCUGUACGUGUCCUGGAUGGGCCAAUACAUGUUCUUUAGAAACAGGUUUAAAAAUCUCUUUACUUAAUGACUCAGGUUGGAUCAGUGAUAAUACUUCUUCUGUGCCCUGUGUGGAGAGCAGUUCUUGUCUAACUGAGAACAAAAUACAAUUUUUAUCUUUAUUGGUGUAACAACACGUACUGUGCUUCAUCAGACAGUCAUCUCUAACCUUUUGUUGGCUUUUACAAAUUUACUGUACUGCACCAUUGUCACAGCCCAUACCGACUGGUUUUCUGUUUUGUUCUUUUCAUCUUCCCAGAAUUUCUAACAUGUAGUUUCCUCUGAUUUCUGCCACAUCAUCUGGAUUUGGAGCCUGACUAAAUGCCACAAUUUUAGCCUGUGGAGGACUUUCAAUAUCAUAUUGCUGAAUGGGGCUUUUUUCCCCUCCAUUGUUCUGUAAAAUGUUCCUCUAGGUCACUUACUGCUUUUCCAGAAGAUGCUUACACUUGAUAAGGGAAUAAGGGAAUCAUACUGGUAACAAGUCCAGGGACUGACUGCCCUAUGCCUCUUGAUAAAUUGGUUUAGAUUUUUUUUGGAGAAACGUUUCCAGCGGACUCUGAGGACUUUUUAAUUUUCCUGUC